This 273-nucleotide ribosomal RNA is filed under the name uncultured Staphylococcus sp. RNAcentral's name for it is "partial 16S ribosomal RNA". It matches the Rfam family "Bacterial small subunit ribosomal RNA", at positions 505 to 777 of the family's 1533-position model. Lineage: Bacteria; Bacillati; Bacillota; Bacilli; Caryophanales; Staphylococcaceae. The record is from RNAcentral.
GUGCCAGCCGCCGCGGUAAUACGUAGGUGGCAAGCGUUAUCCGGAAUUAUUGGGCGUAAAGCGCGCGUAGGCGGUUUUUUAAGUCUGAUGUGAAAGCCCACGGCUCAACCGUGGAGGGUCAUUGGAAACUGGAAAACUUGAGUGCAGAAGAGGAAAGUGGAAUUCCAUGUGUAGCGGUGAAAUGCGCAGAGAUAUGGAGGAACGCCAGUGGCGAAGGCGACUUUCUGGUCUGUAACUGACGCUGAUGUGCGAAAGCGUGGGGAUCAAACAGGA